RNAcentral lists this transfer RNA (87 nucleotides) under Pseudomonadota bacterium. RNAcentral describes it as "Proteobacteria bacterium (sediment metagenome) tRNA-Ser". It matches the Rfam family "tRNA". From Rfam's summary of the family: Transfer RNA (tRNA) molecules are approximately 80 nucleotides in length. Their secondary structure includes four short double-helical elements and three loops (D, anti-codon, and T loops). Lineage: Bacteria; Pseudomonadati; Pseudomonadota. The record is from RNAcentral.
GGAGCCGUGGCCGAGUGGUAAGGCGGCGGAUUGCUAAUCCGUAGCACCUUCGGGUGUCGCCAGGUUCGAAUCCUGCCGGCUCCGCCA